AUUGAACGCUGCGGCAUGCCUUACACAUGCAAGUCGAACGGCAGCACGGGAGCAAUCCUGGUGGCGAGUGGCGAACGGGUGAGUAAAGUAUCGGAACGUGCCCAGUCGUGGGGGAUAACGUAGCGAAAGUUACGCUAAUACCGCAUACGAUCUAUGGAUGAAAGCGGGGGAUCGCAAGACCUCGCGCGAUUGGAGCGGCCGAUAUCAGAUUAGGUAGUUGGUGGGGUAAAGGCUCACCAAGCCGACGAUCUGUAGCUGGUCUGAGAGGACGACCAGCCACACUGGGACUGAGACACGGCCCAGACUCCUACGGGAGGCAGCAGUGGAGAAUUUUGGACAAUGGGCGAAAGCCUGAUCCAGCCAUGCCGCGUGCAGGAUGAAGGCCUUCGGGUUGUAAACUGCUUUUGUACGGAACGAAAAGGUUUGGGCUAAUAAGCUGAGCUCAUGACGGUACCGUAAGAAUAAGCACCGGCUAACUACGUGCCAGCCGCCGCAGUAA
This 499-nucleotide ribosomal RNA is filed under the name uncultured bacterium. RNAcentral describes it as "partial 16S ribosomal RNA". It matches the Rfam family "Bacterial small subunit ribosomal RNA", at positions 30 to 523 of the family's 1533-position model. The record is from RNAcentral.